AUAUGUAGGGGGCGAGCGUUGUCCGGAAUGAUUGGGCGUAAAGGGCGCGUAGGCGGCCGCUUAAGUCUGGAGUGAAAGUCCUGUUUUCAAGCUGGGAAUUGCUUUGGAUACUGGGGGCUUGAGUGCAGGAGAGGUUAUCGGAAUUCCCGGUGUAGCGGUGAAAUGCGUAGAGAUCGGGAGGAACACCAGUGGCGAAGGCGGGUAACUGGACUGCAACUGACGCUGAGGCGCGAAAGUGUGGGGAGCAAACAGGAUUAGAUACCCUGGUAGUCCACACUGUAAACGAUGAAUGCUAGGUGUAAGAGGUAUCGACCCCUUUUGUGCCGGAGUCAACACAAUAAGCAUUCCGCCUGGGGAGUACGGCCGCAAGGUUGAAACUCAAAGGAAUUGACGGGG
Molecule: ribosomal RNA, 396 nt
Filed under: uncultured bacterium
Lineage: Bacteria
Description: partial 16S ribosomal RNA
Rfam family: Bacterial small subunit ribosomal RNA
Source: RNAcentral